Molecule: long non-coding RNA, 1064 nt
Filed under: Brachypodium distachyon (stiff brome)
Lineage: Eukaryota; Viridiplantae; Streptophyta; Magnoliopsida; Poales; Poaceae
Description: long non-coding RNA (BDIS_LNC002733)
Source: RNAcentral
AGCUACACACAAACCUAAUCGAUGUACUGCUGUCUGCCUAUGGCUGGGCCAUCUUCUUCUCGCACAAGGAAAAGUGGCACUCGGAAAUGAUCCAUUUGCGUCCAUUUAAAAGGAACCAGCUGAGACCAGAGAGAGUAUGUGUCAAAUGCAAUGCAAGGCAGCUAGAAUAAACCUGAAAGAGGCUGAGAGAUCUAGCAUAUCAAGUUUACUGAAUUUGCUCCGGUGAAGUAAGGAGCUCGCCAGCUCCUUCUGCCAGUUGAGUUGUGUACUCCACGUAUUACUGGAUCUUGUUCCAGUACCCCUGCGGCCCGUCAUCAUAUAUCAUCCAGAGGCAACAAUUAACAGAUCGUCGACAUGAAGCUCUUGUUCCAGUGCCCCUGCUGCUCAUGCUUCUGCUUCGUCAAGGCCAAGAAGAGCAGCAGCGGCGUGGGCGUCGGCGGCAAGAAAGAAGGAGGCCACAAACUGCAAGGGGCAGUGUAGUGGCUGAUCUGGUCUUGCAUUACUUCCAUUUCAAUUAAAUUUAACUCUGCAUGCAUGCAUGCUUGUUGAGCCAGCAGUUUUCUCUUCAGUUGUUCCAUCUCUGGGCCUGCAGACCAGCUACUAUCUAUAUACUGCAUGCAUGCAUGUCUUUGGAAUUUGAGACUUGUGAAUCACAGAGUGUCGUGUAUUCGUGUGUUGGGAUUGUAUGCAUUAAUUAAGGGAUUUAUCCCUCUGCAGAGCAUAUAGUUUGUUUCUUCAGAUUAAUUAAGUUUUCUCCUCAGCUUUUGUUAGUGGCCUUCUAUCUCAGUUACUUGUUUUUUUCUUCUGGGGGAGGAAUUCAGCGACCGUCUCUUGUGCUAAUGAACCAGUUAUUGGGUGGAUCGAAAUUAAUUAUCAAUGCAAUGUGAUGCAAUGUUUGCAACGGUGGAUCUUGCUGAAAGUGAAAUACAGCAGCAGCUUGCAACGUCCUAAACAUAGGAGAGAUUAGCAGAAAUUUUUCACAUUACCUUUCUUCUUUAGAAUUGAAAUUUUUAUAUUACCUUAUCUUCCACUGGAAAGCCCAUAACUAAGCCCAAGUAACUUAC